CGCACGGGUGAGUAACACGUAUGCAAUCCACCUGUAACAGGGGGAUAACCCGGAGAAAUCCGGACUAAUACCCCAUAAUAUGGGCGCUCCGCAUGGAGAGCCCAUUAAAGAGAGCAAUUUUGGUUACAGCGAGCAUGCGCUCCAUUAGCCAGUUGGCGGGGUAACGGCCCACCAAAGCGACGAUGGAUAGGGGUUCUGAGAGGAAGGUCCCCCACAUUGGAACUGAGACACGGUCCAA
RNAcentral lists this ribosomal RNA (238 nucleotides) under uncultured bacterium. RNAcentral's name for it is "partial 16S ribosomal RNA". It matches the Rfam family "Bacterial small subunit ribosomal RNA", at positions 99 to 334 of the family's 1533-position model. The record is from RNAcentral.